RNAcentral lists this unclassified non-coding RNA (343 nucleotides) under soil metagenome. RNAcentral describes it as "partial contains 5.8S ribosomal RNA, internal transcribed spacer 2, and large subunit ribosomal RNA". The stretch from base 1 to 120 matches the Rfam family "5.8S ribosomal RNA", at positions 35 to 154 of the family's 154-position model. The record is from RNAcentral.
GAUGAAGAACGCAGCGAAAUGCGAUAAGUAAUGUGAAUUGCAGAAUACAGUGAAUCAUCGAAUCUUUGAACGCACAUUGCGCCCGCUAGUAUUCUGGCGGGCAUGCCUGUCCGAGCGUCAUUUCAACCCUCAAGCCCCCGGGCUUGGUGUUGGGGAUCGGCGAGCCUCCGCGCCCGCCGUCCCCUAAAUCUAGUGGCGGUCUCGCUGUAGCUUCCUCUGCGUAGUAGCACACCUCGCACUGGGAAACAGCGCGGCCACGCCGUUAAACCCCCAACUUCUGAACGUUUGACCUCGGAUCAGGUAGGAAUACCCGCUGAACUUAAGCAUAUCAAUAAGCGGAGGA